This 45-nucleotide non-coding RNA is filed under the name Kibdelosporangium sp. MJ126-NF4. Its description in RNAcentral is "L31-Actinobacteria ribosomal protein leader". It matches the Rfam family "L31-Actinobacteria ribosomal protein leader". Lineage: Bacteria; Bacillati; Actinomycetota; Actinomycetes; Pseudonocardiales; Pseudonocardiaceae. The record is from RNAcentral.
CCGGCUCCGGUUCACCCCGAAGAUCACGAUGGGGACCCGGCGGCC